This is a non-coding RNA of Pelobates cultripes (western spadefoot toad), 1155 nucleotides long. NCBI's taxonomy places the organism in Eukaryota, Metazoa, Chordata, Amphibia, Anura, Pelobatidae. The record is from the annotation of a GenBank genome assembly.
CCUUUUUAUACUGCAGCACAGAGUGUGAAAGAUCUGUUCUCUGAAACAGCACAAAAACAAAACCACAAAUACAAAAUAUUUAAAUUAUUCUUGGGGUCAUUAGGUACUCUUUAACAAGAGGGGACCUAGAUUGGACUAAUUAAAAUAACAAGAGUUCGUCUGUUACUCUAUAGGAACUCUUGAAGACAAUAUAGUGCAGUUUCUUACUGCAUGUUGACGCAACAAACGGACCCCCAUAAUCCCUGAUUGAUAUAGGGCUUUCAUUUAGUAGCCCCCAUGUCCUAUAUACUUAUGUGUGGGGAAGCAAAGGGUAUUCCACCAGCUAAAUGUUGCUACUCCUUUCCUUACACUGUGUGUGUUGGAAGAAAAAUAACAAGUUUAUGUUUGGAUGGGGAGGUCUCCAACGCACUGGGCCACAACUGACAGAACUAGGGAAUGUGCAGACCCCAAUAUCCUUGGGUCAGGGGAUUCUUUGAACCACCUAUUCCUAAUACACCAACUGCCACUAGCCGACUACAUGCUUAAUGGAUGACCAGUUCACUGGUCCUAAGUGUUUAACUUGUUCAGGCCUACAAUUCGGUGUAGUCUUUGUUAUUUUGACAUGUCACUAGUCUGCAAAUGGUUGUAGCUAGCCAAUCACAAUACAUCACUUGUUUUUCAUUCCUGCAAGGGGUGACCCAGUGACAUCAUCAGUCAGGAAUCCUCAAUAUAGUAGUCUGUUUGUGGGAGUUUCUGGAUGACAGUACUAUUUUAAGAUGUCUUCCAUUGCCUGCAGAAAAAAUAAUAAUUUGCAUACUAGAUUCGUAUUCCCACUUCCUGAUAAUUAUCCUUUGAAGAGAAACAUUAAGAGGGUAAUUCGCUAUAGUCAUGAUGUUGUCAGUAUGCCAGUGUCGAUGAAAAUGCCUAAAUUCUGACCGGAAUAGCAAUUUGCAUAUUUACUUAACCCAUUUCUGAUCUAUUUAGCUGCAUCUGUAUUAUUUCGCCAGAGGCAUUCAGGGGGAUAUAAAAUCAGUCCUUUCGCAUUUAAAGCCCAUAAAAGGUAUCUGAUUCGGAAUAUGUACAAUGCACUAAUUAAUGAAGAAAAAUGAAAAGUUAUGCACUUUGGGGUAAAGAAUGCACAAACAACUUACACCCUAAAUGUUAGUGAAUUAGGGA